GAUGAAGAACGUAGCGAAAUGCGAUACGUAAUGUGAAUUGCAGAAUUCAGUGAAUCAUCGAAUCUUUGAACGCAUAUUGCGCUCUCUGGUAUUCCGGAGAGCAUGCUUGUUUGAGUAUCAGUAAACACCUCAACUCCCUUUUCUUUUUUGAAAUGGGAGCUGGACUUGAGUGAUCCCAACACUUUUCUCACUGGAAAGUGGCGGGUCACUUGAAAUGCAGGUGCAGCUGGACUUUUCUGUGAGCUAUAAGCAUAUCUAUUUAGUCUGCCUAAAAAACAGAUUAUUACCUUUGCUGCAGCUAACAUAAAGGAGAUGAGUUCUUGUGCUGACUGAUGCAGGAUUCACAGAGACAGCUUUGCGGCUGACUUUGUAAACUCGAUCUCAAAUCAAGUAAGACUACCCGCUGAACUUAAGCAUAUCAAUAAGCGGAGGA
Molecule: unclassified non-coding RNA, 433 nt
Filed under: soil metagenome
Description: partial contains 5.8S ribosomal RNA, internal transcribed spacer 2, and large subunit ribosomal RNA
Rfam family: 5.8S ribosomal RNA (bases 1-120)
Source: RNAcentral